UUUAAUAAAAUUUUAUUAUAAAAUUAUUUAUUAAAAUUAAUUAUAUAAAAAGUAUUUUUUUUGUUUGUGUAAUUUUUAGUGAUUAAAUUAUUUUGGUUAUAGAAAAGUUGUACUGUGAGGGUAAAAUAAUAAUAUAAAAUAAGUUAAAUUUAUUUUUUGUACCUUGUGUAUCAGGGUUAAUUAAGGAUAAAUUAAUAAAUUUAAUUAUCUUGAUUUCAUUAGAGUUAAUAAAUUAAUUAAAUUAUUGUUUUAUAAAUAUUUAAAAUAAUUUAUUAGAAGUGAAAUGCUAUUCGUUUAUGAGGAUAUCUAGUUUUCUGGGAAAUAAAUUGAAUUUACAUGUUUAUAUCUUAUUUAAUAUAUUUUAUUUAAUAUGAUUGUUAAAGGAGAUAACUUCUUUAAUAUAAAUUUAUAAGAUUAAUUUAUUUUAAAAUUUUAUGAAUUUAAAAAUGGUUAUUAAUAUAAAUUUAUUAUAAUUUAAAUUUAUUAAUUUAUUUAUUUAGAAUAUCUUUAAUAUUUUACUAGGAAUUUUUAAUUAAUUUAUAAUUAAUUUUUAUAAUGAUUAAAUUAGUAUAAAUAUUUAUAAAUUGAAUUUUAGGAACUAGGCAAUAUAUUUUAUUCGCCUGUUUAUCAAAAACAUCUUUUCUUGAUUUUUUAUACGAAAUAUAACCUGCCCAAUGAUGAUUAAAUUAAAUGGCCGCGGUAUAUUGACCGUGCAAAGGUAGCAUAAUAAUUAGUCUUUUAAUUAAAGGCUAGAAUGAAUGGUUGAGCGAAAUAAAAUCUAUCUUGGAUUUAUAGAUUUGAAUUUAAUUAUUAAGUUAAAAAGCUUAAAUUUAUUUAUGGGACGAUAAGACCCUAUAGAAUUUAAUAAUUUUGGUUUAUAAGUUGGUUUGAAAAUUAUUUAAUUUAUAAAAUUAUUUUAUUGGGGUGAUAAUAAGAUAUAAAUAACUCUUGUUUUAUUAUAAAUAUAUAUAUAUAAAUUAUUGAUCCACUAUUAUUGAUUAUAAGAUAAAAUUACCUUAGGGAUAACAGCAUAAUCUUUUUUGAGAGUUCAAAUUGACAAAAGGGGUUGUGACCUCGAUGUUGGAUUAGGAAUAGAUUUUUGUGAAGAUGCUUAUAAAUCUAGGUCUGUUCGACCUUUAAUUUCUUACAUGAUCUGAGUUCAAACCGGUGUGAGCCAGGUUGGUUUCUAUCUAUAAAAUAAUAAAUAAUAUUUUAGUACGAAAGGACCAAAUAUUUAAAAUAAUUUUUAUUAUUUGAUUUUAAUUAAAUAU
RNAcentral lists this ribosomal RNA (1271 nucleotides) under Pseudoglomeris angustifolia. RNAcentral describes it as "16S ribosomal RNA". The stretch from base 1022 to 1181 matches the Rfam family "Archaeal large subunit ribosomal RNA", at positions 2542 to 2701 of the family's 2987-position model. The record is from RNAcentral. Lineage: Eukaryota; Metazoa; Arthropoda; Insecta; Blattodea; Blaberidae.